ACUGCUCAGUAACACGUAGUCAACAUGCCCAGGGGACGUGGAUAACCUCGGGAAACUGAGGAUAAACCGCGAUAGGUCAUAAUAUCUGGAAUGAUUUCUGGCUAAAAUCUAUAUGGCCCCUGGAUUGGACUGCGGCCGAUCAGGCUGUUGGUGAGGUAAUGGCCCACCAAACCUAAAACCGGUACGGGCUCUGAGAGGAGAAGCCCGGAGAUGGGCACUGAGACAAGGGCCCAGGCCCUAUGGGGCGCAGCAGGCGCGAAAACUCUGCAAUAAGCGAAAGCUUGACAGGGUUAUUCUGAGUGAUUUCCGCUAAGGAAAUCUUUUGGCACCUCUAAAAAUGGUGCAGAAUAAGGGGUGGGCAAGCCUGGUGUCAGCCGCCGCGGUAAUACCAGCACCCCGAGUGGUCGGGACGAUUAUUGGGCCUAAGGCAUCCGUAGCCGGUUCUACAAGUCUUCCGUUAAAUCCACCUGCUUAACAGAUGGGCUGCGGAGGAUACUAUGGAGCUAGGAGGCGGGAGAGGCAAGCGGUACUUAGUGGGUAGGGGUAAAAUCCGUUGAUCCAUUGAAGACCACCAGUGGUGAAGGCGGCUUGCCAGAACGCACUCGACGGUGAGGGAUGAAAGCUGGGGGAGCAAACCGGAUUAGAUACCCGGGUAGUCCCAGCUGUAAACGAUGCAGACUCGGUGAUGAAUAGGCUUCGUGCCUCUUCAGUGCCGCAGGGAGGCCGUUAAGUCUGCCGCCUGGGGAGUACGGUCGCAAGACUGAAACUUAAAGGAAUUGGCGGGGGAGCA
This 790-nucleotide ribosomal RNA is filed under the name uncultured archaeon. RNAcentral describes it as "bacterial SSU rRNA". It matches the Rfam family "Archaeal small subunit ribosomal RNA", at positions 85 to 878 of the family's 1478-position model. The record is from RNAcentral.